This 317-nucleotide unclassified non-coding RNA is filed under the name uncultured fungus. RNAcentral's name for it is "partial contains 5.8S ribosomal RNA and internal transcribed spacer 2". The stretch from base 1 to 133 matches the Rfam family "5.8S ribosomal RNA", at positions 22 to 154 of the family's 154-position model. The record is from RNAcentral. Lineage: Eukaryota; Fungi.
UGGUUCUGGCAUCGAUGAAGAACGCAGCGAAAUGCGAUAAGUAAUGUGAAUUGCAGAAUUCAGUGAAUCAUCGAGUUUUUGAACGCACAUUGCGCCCCUUGGUAUUCCGAGGGGCAUGCCCGUUCGAGCGUCAUUGCACCCAUCAAACCUCGGUUUGGUCUUGGGCACCGGGGGCGACCCGGGCCCCAAUGUCUCCGGCCGGAGUGUAUCACCGCGCGGCGUUGUGGUUCUUAACGAAUUCGCCGACGGGGUGGGCACUUCGCGCCGUCAAACAUAUCUCCAAGUUUGACCUCGGAUCGGGUAAGGAUACCCGCUGA